This 328-nucleotide ribosomal RNA is filed under the name uncultured eukaryote. RNAcentral describes it as "partial 18S ribosomal RNA". It matches the Rfam family "Eukaryotic small subunit ribosomal RNA", at positions 1470 to 1796 of the family's 1831-position model. The record is from RNAcentral.
CCCUUAGAUGUCCCGGGCCGCACGCGCGCUACACUGAUGCAUGCAACGAGUUUAUAACCUUGGCCUGAAAGGUCUGGGUAAUCUUUUGAACGUGCAUCGUGAUAGGGAUAGAUUAUUGCAAUUGUUAAUCUUGAACGAGGAAUUCCUAGUAAACGCGAGUCAUCAGCUCGCAUUGAUUACGUCCCUGCCCUUUGUACACACCGCCCGUCGCACCUACCGAUUGAAUGGUUCGGUGAAGAUCUCGGACUUCGAUAUUUAUUCUUUAUUGAGUUUAUAUUGUGGGAAGUUAUCUAAACCUCAUCAUUUAGAGGAAGGUGAAGUCGUAACA